RNAcentral lists this ribosomal RNA (1242 nucleotides) under metagenome. RNAcentral describes it as "bacterial LSU rRNA". It matches the Rfam family "Bacterial large subunit ribosomal RNA", at positions 1564 to 2815 of the family's 2925-position model. The record is from RNAcentral.
UGAAUACGAGACGCUAAGGCGUCGAAGUAGUGUAUGUCAUACUUCCAAGAAAAGCUUGCACUGUCAUAGAUAAAAAACGCCUGUACCAUAACCGACACAGGUGGGUAGGUAGAGUAUACUAAGGGGCGCGAGAUAACUCUCUCUAAGGAACUCGGCAAAAUAACUCCGUAACUUCGGGAGAAGGAGUGCCUUAUUUUUAAGGCUGCAAUAACAAGAUCCAAGCAACUGUUUAUCAAAAACACAGGUCUCCGCUAAGUCGUAAGACGAUGUAUGGGGGCUGACGCCUGCCCAGUGCCAGAAGGUUAAAGAAGUUGGUUAGCUUUUGCGAAGCUGAUAAGUGAAGCCCUGGUGAACGGCGGCCGUAACAAUAACGGUCCUAAGGUAGCGAAAUUCCUUGUCGGGUAAGUUCCGACCCGCACGAAAGGCGUAAUGAUUUGGAUACUGUCUCGGAGAGGGGCUCGGUGAAAUAGACUUGUCUGUGAAGAUGCGGACUACCUGCACCAGGACAGAAAGACCCUAUGAAGCUUUACUGUAACUUGAAAUUGAAAUUGGACUUUAUUCGCGCAGCAUAGGUGGGAGGCGUUGAUUAUAAUCUCGUGGGAUUAUUGGAGCCAUCAGUGAGAUACCACUCUUGUAAUGUUAGAUUUCUAACUUUGAAUCAUUAUCUGGUCAAAGAACAGUUUCAGGCGGGCAGUUUGACUGGGGCGGUCGCCUCCUAAACGGUAACGGAGGCGUACAAAGGUCUCCUCUGAACGGUUAGAAAUCGUAUCUAGAGUGUAAAGGCAUAAGGAAGCUUGACUGUGAGACCUACAAGUCGAGCAGGGACGAAAGUCGGUCUUAGUGAUCUGACGGUACUGAGUGGAAAGGCCGUCACUCAACGGAUAAAAGUUACUCUAAGGAUAACAGGCUGAUCUCCCCCAAGAGUUCACAUCGACGGGGAGGUUUGGCACCUCGAUGUCGGCUCAUCGCAUCCUGGGGCGGUAGUACGUCCCAAGGGUUGGGCUGUUCGCCCAUGAGAGCGGUACGCGAGCUGGGUUCAGAACGUCGUGAGACAGUUCGGUCCAUAUCCGGUGUAGGCGUUAGAAUAUUGAGAGGAGCCUUCUUUAGUACGAGAGGACCGAGAAGGACAUACCUCUGGUGUACCAGUUAUCGUGCCAACGGUAAACGCUGGGUAGCUAUGUAUGGAGUGGAUAACCGCUGAAAGCAUCUAAGUGGGAAGCCCACCUCAAGAUAAGUAUUCUC